UGCGUAGGCGGCUUUCUAAGUUGGAUGUGAAAACUCUGGGCUCAACCCAGAGCCUGCAUCCAAAACUGGAGAGCUUGGGUUCUGGGAGGGGAAAGCGGAAUUCCUGGUGUAGCGGUGAAAUGCGUAGAUAUCAGGAGGAACACCGGUGGCGAAGGCGGCUCUCUGGACAGAUACCGACGCUGAGGCACGAAAGUGGAGGGCAAC
RNAcentral lists this ribosomal RNA (204 nucleotides) under uncultured bacterium. Its description in RNAcentral is "partial 16S ribosomal RNA". It matches the Rfam family "Bacterial small subunit ribosomal RNA", at positions 568 to 769 of the family's 1533-position model. The record is from RNAcentral.